GAUGAACGCUGGCGGCGUGCCUAAUACAUGCAAGUCGAGCGAACGGACGAUAAUCUUGCUUCUCUGAUGUUAGCGUCGGACGGGUGUGUAACACGUGUAUAACCUACCUAUAAUACUGGUAUAACUUCGGGAAACCGUAGCUAAUACCGUAUAAUAUUUUGAACCGCAUGGUUCAAUAGUGAAAGUCGGUCUUGCUGUCUCUUAUAGAUGGAUCCGCGCUGCAUUAGCUAGUUGGUAAGGUAACGGCUUACCAAGGCAACGAUGCAUAGCCGACCUGAGAGGGUGAUCGGCGACACUGGAACUGAGACACGGUCCAGACUCCUACGGGAGGCAGCAGUAGGGAAUAGGCCGAAAUGGGGGAAAGCAUGACGGAGCAAAGCCGAGUGAGGGAUGAAGGUCUGCGGAUCGUAAAAAACUGUUAUGAGGGAAGAAAAUAUGUGUAAGAAAAUGUGCACAGAGUGACGGUAACUAAUCAGAAAGCCACGGCUAACUACGUG
RNAcentral lists this ribosomal RNA (497 nucleotides) under uncultured bacterium. Its description in RNAcentral is "partial 16S ribosomal RNA". It matches the Rfam family "Bacterial small subunit ribosomal RNA", at positions 28 to 507 of the family's 1533-position model. The record is from RNAcentral.